ACUCACUACUUAUUCAUUUAAAUUCACAUUCGCAUCAACAUAUAAGUGAUAAAGACCGUCAAUUAAAAGACUACAUGCAACCAAUUUAUUUCAAAAAUAAAUAAAAUAAAAGCCUUUAUUGAAAUUAAAAUCAAAAUCAUUUUGUGCUAGCAUAGACAUGAAAAUUAAAUUUCGACUAGAAACAAAAUAACAGUCUUUUAAAUCUAAUCUAAAUCCUAACGGU
This 223-nucleotide long non-coding RNA is filed under the name Elaeis guineensis (African oil palm). RNAcentral describes it as "long non-coding RNA (EGUI_LNC061244)". Lineage: Eukaryota; Viridiplantae; Streptophyta; Magnoliopsida; Arecales; Arecaceae. The record is from RNAcentral.